This is a long non-coding RNA of Neofelis nebulosa (Clouded leopard), 3292 nucleotides long. RefSeq lists it as uncharacterized. The record is from RefSeq and is a predicted model, not a curated record. Lineage: Eukaryota; Metazoa; Chordata; Mammalia; Carnivora; Felidae. The transcript is spliced from 3 exons.
UUGUUUUGAAAGCUGAACACUGACAGAAUGUAAAUUCACUAUCAAAGAUUUUACAUGUUAAAAGAGACUAGGAAAAUACUAGAAGAAAACAUAAAUGAAUGUGUAAUCUUUGGGUGGAUAAGGCUUUCAUAGAUAUGAAGAAAGAGAUUGACAAUUCUGGUCACACAAAAUUUUAGAGCUUUAGGAAACCACGGACCAACCUAAAUGACAAGCAUAAAACCAUACGGCUCCAGCCUCACAGGUGGUGGGCUACUGGUGAAGCUCUGCUGUCAUGGGAAGUGCAACUGGACUAUAGGCAGAGUAAUGCAUGUAGGGUAUAGCACAUAGAGUACCGCACAUAGAGUACUGCACGUAGAGUGCUGCACACAGAGUACCACAUGUCGUGUGUCACACACGGAGUAACACACAUAGAGUACUGCACACAGAAUACCGCAGGCAGAGUACAACACAGAGUACUGCAUGCAAAGUAUUGCAUGUAGAGUACAGCACAUAGAGUACCACACACAGAGUACCACAUGUAGAGUAUCACACACAGAAUACUGCACAUAGAGUAGGCAGGUAGAGUACUGCAUGCAAAGUAAGGCAUAAAGAGUAUGGCAUGCAGAGUAUCCCAGGUAGAGUACUACACCCAGAGUCCUAUAUGUGGAGUACUGUACAAAGAAUACUGCACACAGAGUACAGCACACAGAGUACUGAAUGCAGGGUACCACACUUACAGUGCCUCACACAGACUACCACAUGUAGAGUACUGCACGCAGAGUACCACUUGCAGAGUACUGCACACAGAGUACUGCACAGCUUCCACAUCAGUUGGUAAAGAGCUGCUUCCCUGAAUCUCUGAGUGGCAUGUGCCCUGUCCCCACCUCCCUUUGGAUCAGCCCCCCCUCCAACAUUCAGGAAUUUGCAGAUGAAUGCCUCUAGGAUCCUGCUCCAAAGUUCCAGCUGAUUUUCAUCCUAAUUUUUUGAUGCCCAUGCUACACAAUUGUCAAAAUAUUUUGAAUUUUACCCCAUUCUUAACAUAAUAUUACUGAAUGAUUAUUAUGUGAUAGGCACUGUCUUAUCUAUGUUAGGCUCUGUAACUCAUAUAAUCCUCACAACAGCUUUGGAAAGGGUAUGUUAUUGCUAUGCCAGUUUGCAGAUACACAGAGAUGUUGAAAGGGCAACUCCUGGCUAGGUGCCUAGGGUUACAAAGAUUGAAAAAGGUGUAGUGAGGUAGAACCUGGGAAGUCUGGCUUUGGAGCUGAUACUUCUUUUUUUAAUAAGUCUGAAUGAACUAAGACACUAAGUCAAUAAGGCAAAAAUAAAGAACAGCUUAAAUUACAGAAUUAUUUCAUGAAUACAAUGAAAGUACAGAGACAUUGUCCCUAUUUUUUUUGUUUUUAAUAUUACAUGUUUAUUAUUGAAGUACAGUUGACAAGUGUUAUGUUAGUUUCAGUUACACAACAUAGUGAAUCUACAGCUCUACACAUUAUGCAGUGUGGAGCCAAGACUCUUAGCCUUGGAGCAUCACUGCCAUUUUCCAAACCAGCAAGAACAAGGAGGACAAACCCAUAGAAGAAUGGGUGAAGGAUUUGAACAGAUAAUUUGCACACACAGACACAAAAGAGAUGUACGUGUACAAUAAACCUAUGGCAAGAUUUUCACCUUCAUUAAAAAUUAGAUAAAUGUAGGGGUGUCUGGGUGGCUCAGUCGGUUAAGCAGCCAACUUCAUCUCAGGUCAUGAUCUAAGGUUUCAUGGGUUUGAGCCACACAUCAGGCUCUGUGCUGACAUCUCAGACCCUGGAGUCUGCUUCAGAUUCUGUCUCCCUCUCUCUCUGCCCCUCCCCUGCUCACUCUCUGUCUCUAUCAAAAAGUGAAUAAAUGUUAAAAAAAUAAAAAAAAAUAGAUAAAUGCAAAUAGUAAUAAUAAUGAUAUAUUCUUCUACUGUAAUAUUGGAAAAAAAUAAAGUUGGACAAAACCCAGUGUUAGAGAUGUUGUGAGGACAUGGACAAUUUUGUUAGUAGGGGUUGUGAUAUUUGGGGGACAGUUUGGUAAUACGCAUCCAAUAUGAAAUGUGUUUCCCCUUUGAAACAAGUCUACAUUCAGGUUACCACAGCAAAGAAAGAUAUAUAGUCAAGGACAUCCAUAAAUGUAUUGUCUAUUAUCACAAAACAAUGAAAACAACCAGAAUGCCCGCCACACGUGAGUUAGUAGAACAAAUAAUGGCAAAUUCUUAUAGUAGAACGUUCUCAGUCUUGAAAAUGGUGAUUAAGCUGAAAAUGCCUGAAUGACAUUUUGCAUUAAAUACAAUCACAAAACAGUGUGCAUAAUAUGAGACCACUUGUAGAAAAUUAUAUGCAUAUGAGUAUAUGUAUAUGCAUGGGGAUAAUCUGGAAGACAUGACACUAAAGAUUAAAUGGUAGGUAUCUCCAGGUGUGGGAGAUCUUUUUCUCUCCUUCUUUGGGGAGCAAAUUUCACAUUGUUUGAAUUUUUGAUUAAAACAGUAAAUAUAUUUAGUUAAAAGAACUAUCAGUGAUGGGGUGCCUGUGUAACUCAGUCAGCUGAGUCCGACUCUUGGUUUCGGCUCAGGUCAUGGUCUCACAACUGGUGGAUUUGGCCUCUGCACUGGCAGUGUGGAUUCUCUCUCUCUCCCUCUCUCCCUGAACCUCCCUCCUCUCUCAAAACAAAUAAAGAAAACAUUAAAAAAAACACAAAGAGCUAUCAGUAAGAUAUUGGCUAUAGCUUCUAGCUGAGACUUCUGGAAGGCAUUGUGCUUCUUUUAGAAAAGUGUUUUUCAAACUGCAGGUUAAAAUCCAUUACUGGUUCUAAAAUCAGUGUAUAGGUUAUAGACAGCAUUUAAAAACAAAAAAAACAAACAUACAAAGUUGAGUGUUAUUUUGUGAACUAAUAAAAAUUUACUGUUGUGCUUGCUUUGUGAGGUAAAAUGUUAUCUGUAGGGUCACAGUUCUUUGAUGGUAUGCUGACAAUGUGCUGCUGGUCUGCCAGACUCCUGGGAUUCAGACACUGAGGAGAUUCCCCCAACCCUCCAACUUUUUGGAGCAAAGAAAAUAAAGGGCCCAAAAACAAAUCCUGGUGCUUUCCUGUGUGGACUUAGGUGGUAUGGCAUGUGCCUUUCUCUUGGAAAUUGCACUAUUACUGGCUAUUCCAUGUGCUGAAGAAGCUUGCUGUGGCUUGCAGUCACCCAGAGAGGUGUUUUCAGGCAAGUCAAGCAGCUGUUGUCUUCUGAGUCUGUGACCUUCUCCCUUCCUUCCUUCCUUCCUUCCUUCCUUCCUCUCUUUCUUUCUUUUCUUUC